Molecule: ribosomal RNA, 1257 nt
Filed under: Puliciphora borinquenensis
Lineage: Eukaryota; Metazoa; Arthropoda; Insecta; Diptera; Phoridae
Description: 16S ribosomal RNA
Rfam family: Archaeal large subunit ribosomal RNA (bases 1018-1175)
Source: RNAcentral
GUUAUUUUUAAUUAAAAUAAUUUAAAAAUUUUUGUUUAUAAUGUAUAAUAAGAAAAUUUAAUUAAUUAUAGAAAAGAGUAAGGUAGCUGAAAAUUGAAAUAAAUGAAAAAUUAUUUUUUAAGAAGAAAAUGUAAUAUUGUACCUUUUGUAUCAGGGUAAUUUAAAAAUUAUUAGAAAUUUAGUAUUCUCGAUUUGAAAAGAGUUAAAAAUUUAUUAAAGUUAAUGUAGUAAAAUUAUUUUAAAUAAAUUUUUAGAAAUGAAAUGUUAUUCGAUUUUCAAGAUAUCUAGUUUUUUUAGAAAUAAAUUUAAUUUAAUCUAAUUAAAUAAAGUAAUUAUUUAAUAAUUGUUUUACUUUUAUUAGAAAAUUUUUAAUGGGAUAAGCUAUUAAAAUUAUUAAAAAUAACUAAAAUAAAUUUAAAUAUAUGCUUAUAAGUAGCAAUUAUUAAUAAAUUUGUUAUAAAUUAUAUAGUUGAUUUAUAAUUUAGUAAAUUUUAAUUUAAUAUAAAAAUUAAUAUUUUAAUAAUAAAAAUUUUGAAAUAAUGAAUUAAUUAGUAUAUAUUAUAGUUUAUGUAUUUAAAUGUGAAAGGUUUUUUUAAAGAAUUCGGCAAAAAAGUGUUCACCUGUUUAACAAAAACAUGUCUUUUUGAAAUUAAUUUAAAGUCUAACCUGCCCACUGAAAAUUAAAUGGCCGCAGUAUUUUAACUGUGCAAAGGUAGCAUAAUCAUUAGUCUUUUAAUUGAAGGCUGGAAUGAAUGGUUGAAUGAAAUACUAACUGUUUCAAUUAAAUUUAUAUAGAAUUUAAAUUUUUAGUUAAAAAGCUAAAAUAAAAUUAAAAGACGAGAAGACCCUAUAAAUCUUUAUAUAGAUAGAAUAUUUAAAAAUUAGAAAAAUUUUUUAUUUAUUUUUAAUAUAUUUUAUUGGGGUGAUAUGAAAAUUUAAUAAACUUUUUAAUUAUUUUACCAAUAAUAUUUGAAUAGUUGAUCCAUAUAAAUGAUUAAAAAUUUAAGUUACUUUAGGGAUAACAGCGUAAUUUUUUUAGAGAGUUCUUAUUGAUAAAAAAGUUUGCGACCUCGAUGUUGGAUUAAGAUACAAUUUUGGUGCAGUAGCUAAAAUUUUAAGUCUGUUCGACUUUUUAUUCUUACAUGAUCUGAGUUCAGACCGGCGUAAGCCAGGUUGGUUUCUAUCUUUAAUUAAAAUAUACAUUUUAGUACGAAAGGAAUUAAUGUAUAAAUUAAUAUUUUAUUUUAGAAUCCUAUU